RNAcentral lists this long non-coding RNA (470 nucleotides) under Equus caballus (horse). Its description in RNAcentral is "lncRNA (ENSECAG00000041578.2)". The record is from RNAcentral. Lineage: Eukaryota; Metazoa; Chordata; Mammalia; Perissodactyla; Equidae.
GUGACGUCUAUUCCACUUCCUGUCUCUAUGAAUUUGCCUGUUCCAGGGACCUCCUAGAAGCAGGAUCAUACAAUAUUUGUCCUUCUGUGCCUGGCUCAUUUCACUGGGCAUCACGUCCUCAAGGCUCAUCCGUGUUGUAGCAGGUGUCCGAAUUUCCUUCCUUUUCAAGACUGAAUAAUGUUCCAUCGUCUGGCUGGACCACAUUGCGUUUAUCCAUCGUCCAUCGAUGGAGACUUGCGUUGUCCACCUUUUGGCUGCCGUGAAUCACACUGCUGUGAACACAGGUGCACAGUCGAAUUCCAUGGUAUGAGACACCCUGUGUGUUAUCCAUUCGCCCGCUGGAAAUCAUUUAGAUCAUAUCGAGUUGUUGGCGAUUACGAAUGACGCCAUUAUAGACAUCUGUGUCGAGGUUUCCUUGUGAACACAAGCUUUUAUUUCUCCUGGGAAAAUAUCUAUGAAUGGCAUUGCUG